RNAcentral lists this long non-coding RNA (331 nucleotides) under Elaeis guineensis (African oil palm). RNAcentral describes it as "long non-coding RNA (EGUI_LNC013587)". The record is from RNAcentral. Lineage: Eukaryota; Viridiplantae; Streptophyta; Magnoliopsida; Arecales; Arecaceae.
GGAGGCCGCCCAUCCCUAGAAACCCACACCCAAUAUUUUCCCCUCAGAUACUCGGUGAUUUUUGAUGUCUUACGGUUAAAUUUCAGAUCUCACACAAAAAGAAAAAACUUCUUAAAGAGAGGGCAUCCAAGGUUGGUUAGGAUGAGGUCAUACCUUAUCCAGAUAAGGAAUUGAAUUCAAUCAAAUUUGAAACUACCUUAUCAACUAGAUUUUUAUCCAUAUCAAGUGUGGAGAAGAAAAAGGGGGAACAACUCCUUAUUGGCAUGGAGAAAAACACAUGCAAAAAUAUUUCUUGCAUGAAGAAGAAUUGGCGCAAGAGAAGAGUGGCACA